AAUGAACGUUGGCGGCGUGGAUUAGGCAUGCAAGUCGAGCGUACCCAGCAAUGGGGAAGCGGCAAACGGGGUAGUAAUGCGUCGGUACGUGCCCUCGGGACGAGGAUAGCCACGGGAAACUGUGGGUAAUACUCGAUGAUCUCGUGAGAGCAAAGGUGUGACUCCGCCGGAGGAGCGGCUGACGUGGUAUUAGGUAGUUGGUAGGGUAAUGGCCUACCAAGCCUGGGAUGCCUAGGGGGUGUGAGAGCAUGGCCCCCACCAUUGGGACUGAGAAACUGCCCAGACACCUACGGGUGGCUGCAGUCGAGGAUCUUCGGCAAUGGGCGCAAGCCUGACCGAGCGACGCCGCGUGCGGGAUGAAGGCCUUCGGUUGUAAACCGCUGUCAGGGGGAGUGAAUCAUGGUGGGUACUCCAUCAUGUUGACAGAGCCCCAGAGGAAGCGCGGGCUAAGUUCGUG
RNAcentral lists this ribosomal RNA (457 nucleotides) under uncultured bacterium. Its description in RNAcentral is "bacterial SSU rRNA". It matches the Rfam family "Bacterial small subunit ribosomal RNA", at positions 28 to 507 of the family's 1533-position model. The record is from RNAcentral.